CAGCACCUCAAGUGGUCAGGAUGAUUAUUGGGCCUAAAGCAUCCGUAGCCGGCUCUGUAAGUUUUCGGUUAAAUCUGUACGCUCAACGUACAGGCUGCCGGGAAUACUGCAGCGCUAGGGAGUGGGAGAGGUAGACGGUACUCGGUAGGAAGGGGUAAAAUCCUUUGAUCUAUUGAUGACCACCUGUGGCGAAGGCGGUCUACCAGAACACGUCCGACGGUGAGGGAUGAAAGCUGGGGGAGCAAACCGGAUUAGAUACCCCAGUAGUCC
Molecule: ribosomal RNA, 270 nt
Filed under: uncultured archaeon
Lineage: Archaea
Description: partial 16S ribosomal RNA
Rfam family: Archaeal small subunit ribosomal RNA
Source: RNAcentral